RNAcentral lists this transfer RNA (70 nucleotides) under Dipodomys ordii (Ord's kangaroo rat). It matches the Rfam family "tRNA". From Rfam's summary of the family: Transfer RNA (tRNA) molecules are approximately 80 nucleotides in length. Their secondary structure includes four short double-helical elements and three loops (D, anti-codon, and T loops). Lineage: Eukaryota; Metazoa; Chordata; Mammalia; Rodentia; Heteromyidae. The record is from Rfam by way of RNAcentral.
GGUAAUGUAGCUUAGUGGUCGAGUGCUUGUCUAGCAUGCAUGAAGCCCUGUGUUCAAUUUGGCAGUACCA